UUCCUCAUGCGUUGGCGGAUCCCCAACCCACCACCUCAACUAACGUGACCGAAGCAACCGCAUAAAAAAACUCGUAGCUCACUACCCCCACUAACCCCAACCCCCGCCUCCCACCCCACCCCACACCUUUUUCUACUCACUCGCUCGACACCCCCAAACCCCACCUGCAACUGCCCCGCACCGCUCGCCCCCAACUAUGAGCUAACACUGCCCGCCCUGGCCACCACCCUAGCCCGCCUGCCCCCCGGCCACCACAUCCUGCCCCUCACCCCGUCCUUCCUCUCCGAUGGCUCAUCUCGCCGAAGGCUGGCUACUCCAACCGCCCUUGCCCAUCCCAUCUUCGGAUCCAGGGCCCCAUCAUUGGAUUCACCCCAUGGCGACAUGGAUCUGGUCGUCCCUGAAACGGAUCCGGCCACUGACCUCUACUCCGGUGACCACGGCAAUCUCCAGCGCCCCAUGUGCCCUCCCCUCGCGGUAUCUGGCUUUAUGGUGGUCGACGGCCCCACCCCACCACCAUCUUCCCAAACCCCGCCACCCACCACAACCUGUUGAGAUCUAGCUGAUGAACUGCGGGGACAACACCCACCAUGGCUACGCCCCUAGCCUGCCACAACCUUGCUCUGUGAUUCGUUGCAUGGGUCGCCGUCGAGAACAACUCCAAUGUUUGAGAAAAAGAUAGGUGAUGCAGUCCGCUGGCCUCCUCCUAUGGCAAAUUUUGCAAAAAAAUAAGUACACAACAGUUCGUUCUGAAAUUUUGUAGUGUAUGCAGCUCACCGACACUUUUACUACAGGUCUCUAUAGGUCUUGUAUGCAGUUCUGCCCAUGCUGGGCUGCAGAUCAAUCGGGCUUUGAUGACCACCAAUAGCGGGAGUACCACAGGAGGAGCUACAAAAGCCGUCCACUUCUGCGUCUCCGGAGAUCCCUUAUUGCUAGCAGACCAUGAAAGAAUGUGGCGGUUGUGUAUUUCAGAUUUUUUUUUACCUUUUUCACAUGUGAUUGCUCUACUCUAUGUUUUACAGUUUAGUUCAUAGUCGAGUGCUUGGGGAAAAAUUAACAGUGCCACAUGUGGGUUUGGAGCGUCUUAAAAUUCGUCGAAUGCAUCAUUGUAGUUUUACAUUGGAGCAUAUUAUUCUGCUACAUUUGUUCUCUCGUUAAAUUUGCAAAAAAUAAUGUAUAAGAAAAA
Molecule: long non-coding RNA, 1183 nt
Organism: Hordeum vulgare subsp. vulgare (domesticated barley)
Lineage: Eukaryota; Viridiplantae; Streptophyta; Magnoliopsida; Poales; Poaceae
Exons: 2
Source: RefSeq, a predicted model, not a curated record